Haliotis rubra (blacklip abalone) is the source of this 622-nucleotide long non-coding RNA. RefSeq lists it as uncharacterized. NCBI's taxonomy places the organism in Eukaryota, Metazoa, Mollusca, Gastropoda, Lepetellida, Haliotidae. The record is from RefSeq and is a predicted model, not a curated record. The transcript is spliced from 2 exons.
UACAAACAGGAGGCUUUCAGUGUCUAUUUAGGGGAGGAGGAAGGCGCAAUGUCUACAUCGAACAAUGGGUAGUGUUUGUUGAAACAACCACAAGAUGCUUCAACUGAUGAAUAUCCGCCAGCUUCAUCAUCACAGAAGGACGACCGUGCACGAUUCGUAAAUGCCCCCACAACAACCAUAGAAUGCCACGACCAGUAUAAAGCCCUGAACUUUACCCAGCUGAACCUGUCGUGGACUUGACAGGGAGACGUGUGUUUGGACGUCCAAGGCUACAGAUCAGGCUGGCUGAAACUUGGACAGGCGCAGAAAGAGGAGUGGAACGGACUCCCUCAAACAGUAAGUUCGAGAUUCGUCAAGGAAAUGAAUACUAGUACUUGAUACAUCGUGACCAUAUUGCGCAUAUCUGAACCAACAGCGUCAAAUUUAACAAGCUGGCAGUUGUAACAUCUUCUGUCAUAAUUCGACCCGUGAAGGUCCGGGUUAGAAUUGGUAUUCAGCAACCCAUGUUUGUCGUAAGAGACGACUAACGGAAUCGGGUGGUCAGGCUCGCUUGACACAUGUCAUCGGUUCCCAAUUGCUUGUACUGUAUUUAUUUUAAGAAAAAACUAUUUUAAGACACGUG